RNAcentral lists this long non-coding RNA (210 nucleotides) under Carica papaya (papaya). RNAcentral describes it as "long non-coding RNA (CPAP_LNC002699)". Lineage: Eukaryota; Viridiplantae; Streptophyta; Magnoliopsida; Brassicales; Caricaceae. The record is from RNAcentral.
AGUGUGGGAGGUUAAGUUUCCUAAACUUCACUACAUUGUAUGAUCUAUGACCACAGUUGUACCAGCCAUAGUCGCCCUAACAGAUAUCUAAAGUCAUGACAUUACUUAGCUACGGGUGACCCCUACAGAUAGUGUGACACCGCUUUUGUCAGAGGGUCCACCGUCAUCCAUUUGGAGCGGUCCUCUUAUGUCUUUCCAGACCAGAUAAGA